CAAGGUCGGCGGACAAGCAUCUUCCCUCAACAAACACAGGACUACACUGGCAGACUGACUCUGCCACUGAUGGAUCACACUUGGGUCCACUGACCCAGAGAGGACACUCUAACUCAGAGAUCAUCAACCCUAACCUCUGGACGGCUCUCGGUGCAAUAAAAGAAUGAGAUGCGCCAGGGUCCAUCAAGGCAUACACAUCUGAACAACCAAUGACUAAGUUACCUGCCACCACGGUGUUAGAUGCAUCUGCCUCCUGCUGUGUCA
This 264-nucleotide long non-coding RNA is filed under the name Manihot esculenta (cassava). RNAcentral describes it as "long non-coding RNA (MESC_LNC012948)". Lineage: Eukaryota; Viridiplantae; Streptophyta; Magnoliopsida; Malpighiales; Euphorbiaceae. The record is from RNAcentral.